Molecule: ribosomal RNA, 271 nt
Filed under: uncultured Ascomycota
Lineage: Eukaryota; Fungi; Ascomycota
Description: partial 18S ribosomal RNA
Rfam family: Eukaryotic small subunit ribosomal RNA
Source: RNAcentral
UUGGAGGGCAAGUCUGGUGCCAGCAGCCGCGGUAAUUCCAGCUCCAAUAGCGUAUAUUAAAGUUGUUGUGGUUAAAAAGCUCGUAGUUGAACCUUGGGCCUGGCUGGCCGGUCCGCCUCACCGCGUGCACUGGUCCGGCGGGCCUUUCCCUCUGCGGAACCCCAUGCCCUUCACUGGGUGUGGCGGGGAAACAGGACUUUACUUUGAAAAAAUUAGAGUGCUCAAGGCAGGCCUAUGCUCGAAUACAUUAGCAUGGAAUAAUAGAAUAGGA